Molecule: ribosomal RNA, 253 nt
Filed under: uncultured bacterium
Lineage: Bacteria
Description: partial 16S ribosomal RNA
Rfam family: Bacterial small subunit ribosomal RNA
Source: RNAcentral
UACGGAGGGUGCAAGCGUUAUCCGGAUUCACUGGGUUUAAAGGGUGCGUAGGUGGGUUGGUAAGUCAGUGGUGAAAUCCCCGAGCUUAACUUGGGAACUGCCAUUGAUACUAUCAGUCUUGAAUACCGUGGAGGUCGACGGAAUAUGUCAUGUAGCGGUGAAAUGCUUAGAUAUGACAUAGAACACCAAUUGCGAGGGCAGCUGACUACGCGAGUAUUGACACUGAGGCACGAAAGCGUGGGGAUCAAACAGG